Molecule: unclassified non-coding RNA, 313 nt
Filed under: Hevea brasiliensis (rubber tree)
Lineage: Eukaryota; Viridiplantae; Streptophyta; Magnoliopsida; Malpighiales; Euphorbiaceae
Source: RNAcentral
UAAGGGACCAAGAAAAUAGUCUCUCAACAGAGAAAUCAAUCCGUCUUUCUGUCUUAUUUAAUACGGAUCGUGAGAAGAUCAAUUGCGUGCUGUGUUUGGUUUCUUAUAGAGACUCGAAUUGAGCUGGAGAAAGAAAAAAAAUGGUUUCAGCGAACAGGGAGAUGGCGGUUUAUUGUUUUGACACUCUCGUCGCUCACUACAACAGUGAGGAAGCUCCCCCUCCUGCCUUUGAUGAGGGCCAGCACCCACUAUUUGUCACGUGGAAGAAAAUGGUCAAUGGUGGUGAGCCUUGUUUACGUGGAUGCAUUGGAAC